This 875-nucleotide long non-coding RNA is filed under the name Zostera marina. RNAcentral describes it as "long non-coding RNA (ZMAR_LNC001427)". Lineage: Eukaryota; Viridiplantae; Streptophyta; Magnoliopsida; Alismatales; Zosteraceae. The record is from RNAcentral.
AGUGUCUCAAGGUGCCCACUUUCAACGAUCAAAGAAACUGUUUCAAGGAGAGACCAGUCCAGAGAUCGCAGAAGCAAUGCAAGAUGUUCUAUUCUCAUCCCAUGGAUUGCAACAGAUUCGGGUGUCUCCCAUUCUUUUCUCCUCCGCCUCUUCCACCUCCACCUCCUCCUCCACCGCCACCUUCACCUUCACCUCCACCACCGCUAGUCUACUCACCUCCUCCUCCUCCUCCUUAUAUUUACUCGUCUCCUCCUCCACCGUCACCUAUGGUAUACUCGUCUCCUCCUCCUCCUCCUUAUGUGUACUCGUCACCUCCUCCUCCUCCUUAUGUGUACUCGUCACCUCCUCCUCCUCCUUAUGUGUACUCGUCGCCUCCACCGCCAGCUACAAUACAUUCGUCACCUCCACCUCCAGUAUCCUGGUGGCACCAGCAACCGUCACCUCCUCAUCCAGAACCUUGGUGGCACCAGCAGCCGUCACCUCCUCAUCCAGUACCCUGGUGGCGCCACCAAUCAUCACCUCCUCAUCCAGUACCCUGGUGGCGCCACCAAUCAUCACCUCCCUAUCCUAAAUACUCACCACCGCCGCUGCCUUCGGUUUAAUUUACUCGCCUUCUCCACCAAUCCGGUGCAUAGAACCUCCUUUGCCUCCACCUCUUCCGAUAACACCAAGUCCAUUACUGGCACCGGUCUACGACAGUUCACUGGCUUCCGUUUUCCCCACCACUUCUCGAUGUUGUUGUGAUGAAUGAGCAUGAGAGUGAUAGAAAUUUCAGCAAUGAAUAAAUGAUUGUAUAGAUUGAAUUUGGUUAUUUAAUCUUGGUAUUAAGAAUUGAUUACACUUAAAACAUAAUUAAAUUCUUUUUUUCCCCACAC